Molecule: ribosomal RNA, 256 nt
Filed under: uncultured bacterium
Lineage: Bacteria
Description: partial 16S ribosomal RNA
Rfam family: Bacterial small subunit ribosomal RNA
Source: RNAcentral
UACGAGGGGGGGCGAGCGUUUGUUCGGAAUUAUUGGGUGUAAAGGGGUGCGUAGGCGGCCUGACAAGUCUGAUGUGAAAUCCCUGGGCUCAACCCAGGGCCUGCAUCGGAAACUGUCGGGCUUGAGUAUGGGAGAGGUGAGUGGAAUUUCCGGUGUAGCGGUGAAAUGCGUAGAUAUCGGAAGGAACACCUGUGGCGAAAGCGGCUCACUGGACCAUUACUGACGCUGAGGCACGAAAGCUAGGGGAGCAAACAGG